RNAcentral lists this ribosomal RNA (252 nucleotides) under Romboutsia timonensis. RNAcentral's name for it is "partial 16S ribosomal RNA". It matches the Rfam family "Bacterial small subunit ribosomal RNA", at positions 524 to 776 of the family's 1533-position model. Lineage: Bacteria; Bacillati; Bacillota; Clostridia; Peptostreptococcales; Peptostreptococcaceae. The record is from RNAcentral.
UACGUAGGGGACUAGCGUUAUCCGGAAUUACUGGGCGUAAAGGGUGCGUAGGUGGUUUCUUAAGUCAGAGGUGAAAGGCUACGGCUCAACCGUAGUAAGCCUUUGAAACUGGGAAACUUGAGUGCAGGAGAGGAGAGUGGAAUUCCUAGUGUAGCGGUGAAAUGCGUAGAUAUUAGGAGGAACACCAGUUGCGAAGGCGGCUCUCUGGACUGUAACUGACACUGAGGCACGAAAGCGUGGGGAGCAAACAGG